GAUGAAGAACGUAGCGAAAUGCGAUAAGUAAUGUGAAUUGCAGAAUUCAGUGAAUCAUCGAAUCUUUGAACGCACAUUGCGCCCGGCAGCAAUCUGCCGGGCAUGCCUGUCCGAGCGUCAUUUCUUCCCUCGAGCGCGGCUAGCCCUACGGGGCCUGCCGUCGCCCGGUGUUGGGGCUCUACGGGUGGGGCUCGUCCCCCCCGCAGUCCCCGAAAUGUAGUGGCGGUCCAGCCGCGGCGCCCCCUGCGUAGUAGUCUUACAACUCGCAUCGGGACCCGGCGGAGGCCAGCCGUCAAACCCCCAACUUCAAUAGUUUGACCUCGGAUCAGGUAGGGUUACCCGCUGAACUUAAGCAUAUCAAUAAGCGGAGGA
RNAcentral lists this unclassified non-coding RNA (372 nucleotides) under soil metagenome. RNAcentral describes it as "partial contains 5.8S ribosomal RNA, internal transcribed spacer 2, and large subunit ribosomal RNA". The stretch from base 1 to 120 matches the Rfam family "5.8S ribosomal RNA", at positions 35 to 154 of the family's 154-position model. The record is from RNAcentral.